RNAcentral lists this ribosomal RNA (253 nucleotides) under uncultured bacterium. RNAcentral describes it as "partial 16S ribosomal RNA". It matches the Rfam family "Bacterial small subunit ribosomal RNA", at positions 524 to 776 of the family's 1533-position model. The record is from RNAcentral.
UACAGGGGGGGCAAGCGUUGUUCGGAAUUACUGGGCGUAAAGGGUUCGUAGGUGGCCACCUAAGUCAGACGUGAAAUCCCUCAGCUUAACUGGGGAACUGCGUCUGAUACUGGGUGGCUUGAGUGCAGGAGAGGAAUGCGGAAUUCCAGGUGUAGCGGUGAAAUGCGUAGAUAUCUGGAGGAACACCGGUGGCGAAGGCGGCAUUCUGGACCGGCAUUGACGCUGAGGCGCGAAAGCCAGGGGAGCAAACGGG